GACAGAGGGUGCAAACGUUGCUCGGAAUUACUGGGCGUAAAGCGCGUGUAGGCGGAUUUGCAAGUCAGAUGUGAAAUCCCCGGGCUCAACCCGGGAACUGCAUUUGAAACUGUGAGUCUUGAGUAUCGGAGAGGAAAGCGGAAUUCCUGGUGUAGAGGUGAAAUUCGUAGAUAUCAGGAGGAACACCGGUGGCGAAGGCGGCUUUCUGGACGAUAACUGACGCUGAGACGCGAAAGCGUGGGGAGCAAACAGG
RNAcentral lists this ribosomal RNA (253 nucleotides) under uncultured bacterium. RNAcentral's name for it is "partial 16S ribosomal RNA". It matches the Rfam family "Bacterial small subunit ribosomal RNA", at positions 524 to 776 of the family's 1533-position model. The record is from RNAcentral.